RNAcentral lists this ribosomal RNA (670 nucleotides) under uncultured fungus. RNAcentral's name for it is "eukaryotic LSU rRNA". It matches the Rfam family "Eukaryotic large subunit ribosomal RNA", at positions 24 to 664 of the family's 3401-position model. Lineage: Eukaryota; Fungi. The record is from RNAcentral.
CCCGCUGAACUUAAGCAUAUCAAUAAGCGGAGGAAAAGAAACUAACAAGGAUUCCCCUAGUAACUGCGAGUGAAGCGGGAAAAGCUCAAAUUUAAAAUCUGGUGGUCUUUGGCCAUCCGAGUUGUAAUUUAGAGAAGCGUCUUCCGCGCUGGACCAUGCAUAAGUCUCCUGGAAUGGAGCGUCAUAGAGGGUGAGAAUCCCGUCUUUGGCAUGGACCCCCAGGGCUUCUGUGAUGCGCUCUCAAAGAGUCGAGUUGUUUGGGAAUGCAGCUCAAAAUGGGUGGUGAACUCCAUCUAAAGCUAAAUAUUGGCGAGAGACCGAUAGCGAACAAGUACCGUGAGGGAAAGAUGAAAAGCACUUUGGAAAGAGAGUUAAACAGUACGUGAAAUUGUUGAGAGGGAAACGUUUGAAGUCAGUCGCGUCGGCCGGGACUCAGCCUUGCUAUCUUGCUUGGUGCACUUCUCGGUCGACGGGUCAGCAUCAAUUUUGACCGUCGGAUAAAGGCCGAGGGAACGUGGCAUCCUCCGGGGUGUGUUAUAGCCCUCGGUUCGCAUACGGCGAUCGGGAUUGAGGAACUCAGCGCGCCUUCAUUGGUCGGGGCUUCGCGGCUCACGUUAACGCGCUUAGGAUGCUGGCAUAAUGGCUUUAAGCGACCCGUCUUGAAACACGG